This 29-nucleotide non-coding RNA is filed under the name Mus musculus (house mouse). Lineage: Eukaryota; Metazoa; Chordata; Mammalia; Rodentia; Muridae. The record is from RNAcentral.
UAGACACUCAUACUUACCCAUAAGUGUGU